This is a non-coding RNA of Lolium perenne, 378 nucleotides long. Lineage: Eukaryota; Viridiplantae; Streptophyta; Magnoliopsida; Poales; Poaceae. The record is from RefSeq and is a predicted model, not a curated record.
CUGCUCCACCUAGCUUCAUGGCCGGCCAUGGCCAUGAAAAGCUCUCCAAGAUGAAGCUCUCCCCCUCCCUCAAGCUCCCCUCUCCAUGAGAGCAUCCCUCUCCUUCUUCUCCCCAAUCCUAGAUGGUUUUCUCUCCUCUUCUUCUUCCUCCCUUGCUAAGAUUGGAUCUUGAUGCAGGUGCAUGUUGGUCCAAGCAUGGAGAAGGUUGAGCUAUCCUCAGAUCUGAAGUUCUUGAGCAAAAUCCAAAUCGAGUGGUUCAAAGUUCUGCAGAUAGGUAUUGAAAAUAUCUACAACUUGGCGUUGGUCUCAUCCUCAAAUUCGUUACGGAUUUUGCAUGAUAAAUAAAGUUCUGCAAACAUGCAGAAUCAUUGUUUGUUA